AACGAACGCUGGCGGCAUGCCUAACACAUGCAAGUCGAGCGGUAAGGCCCUUUCGGGGGUACACGAGCGGCGAACGGGUGAGUAACACGUGGGUGACCUGCCUUUAGCUCUGGGAUAAGCCUGGGAAACUGGGUCUAAUACCGGAUAUGACUCCGCGGUGCAUGCUGUGGGGUGGAAAGCCUUGUGCGGCUGGAGAUGGGCCCGCGGCCUAUCAGCUUGUUGGUGGGUGAUGGCCUACCAAGGCGA
RNAcentral lists this ribosomal RNA (246 nucleotides) under uncultured Actinomycetes bacterium. Its description in RNAcentral is "uncultured actinobacterium partial 16S ribosomal RNA". It matches the Rfam family "Bacterial small subunit ribosomal RNA", at positions 29 to 276 of the family's 1533-position model. The record is from RNAcentral. Lineage: Bacteria; Bacillati; Actinomycetota; Actinomycetes.